UAGUCUUUGCUGACCCUUGUGAAGAGUGGUGUGUCCCUCAAAGGAUUGAGACCUAAAGUUGAGAACCAUCAUCCUAUGUAAACUUUUAUUUCCUGAAGGUUUCCUUUCUUACGGAAUAUUUUAAGUGGAUUCUGACCAUUUUGCUGAAUGUGAUGGCAACUCAAGUACUAAAGCCAUGCUUCCUCACUGCAUCCCGAGAAGCUGACACUGAAGGAGACCAUUCCCUGAGCUUAUGGAGAUCAGCUCAGUGUUUAGCUGUGGGUGUCUGCUUUUGUUUCCAUAAGCUACUGGAAGAAGGCUCUAGAAGGGCAUAUAAGCCACUGAGGACGAUCUUCUCCGCCUUCUCCUGAGAAUAUUGCACUGAAGACACGGACACUACACCUACCUGGUGGUAUUGUACUUUGUAUGCUUGACACCUGUAUGACUGAUUUCUACCUGGGAAUGCUACAUCAGUAACAGAAGUAUCAGCAAGCCGCUGCAGAGGAAUCCUGGCUCCUUCAGUGUUUACAGAGAAAUGUCACUCAUGAAGAGAUUCAGCUCUGAGAGAUACUUCUGGUGUAAGGUAUUCUUCUUACCUGUAUGACUGAUUACUACCUGGAAAUGUCAUGUCAGUGACAGAAGUGUCAGCAAGUAUCUACAGAUGAAUUCUGGCUCCUUCAGUGUUUAUAGAGAAAUGACUCUCAUAAUGAGAUUCAGCUCUGAGAAUUACUUCUGAUAUAAGGCAUUAGGUUUCAUUGGAUGCAUGGAUUCAUCUCUGCGGCUGCGCCAUCUGAGGGAUAAAUUUCAGUGGACAGCUGAAAGGCAAAAUGGAGCUACUACUGGUAAUGAGAUUGCAGAGUUUCUCACAAGCCUGCUCAUGAUAUUCUCAGACUCAAACACAUAGGAACUGCACCUCCCCAGCUUCUGAAGAGGUAUCCCUGAAGAUACAGUCAACACAUCUUCCUGGUGAGUCUGACAGUGCUGCUUAGUGAAGUUGCAUUCAAGUACUAUAGCCAAGCUUCCUCUCUGCAUCCUGAGAAGCUGACAAUGGAGGAGACCACUUCCCUGAGCUUAUGAUUCUGACCAUUCUGCUUAGUGUGAGGACAACUCAAGCAGUAAAGCCGUGCUUCCUCUCUGCAUGCCGAGAAGCUGACACUGAAGGAGACUACUUCUCUAAGUUAUGGUAUUCUUCAUAUCUGUAUGACUGAUUUCUACCUGGGAAUGCUGUAACAGUGACCAAAGUAAUUGCAAGCAUCUACAUAGGAAUCCUGGCUCCUUCAGUGUUUGAAGAGAAAUGACUCUCAUGAUGAGAUUCAGCUCUGAGAGAUACUUCUGAUAUAAGGUAAGAACCAUAGCAAAAAUAGUGUGAGGCUGACAUUUUAGCAAUGACUCCCGAUACAACAGGUGUAUUGGAUAAAAGAAAAGAAAUGCAAAUAUCAGUUAGUAUUCUUUAUACUGAUUUAGGCCAAGAGCUAAUAGGGCACAUUUUAUUCCAAUAUUAUAGAGCAUCCUUAGCAAUGCAAAGCUGGAACCUGAUGGUGUUACGUAUCAAGGAGUUAGGUGUCUAUGGUAAUGAUCAUCAAAUAUUAUUCAAUACUGAAAUUUCUAGAGUUGCAGAAAAACUUUCAUCUGACCUAUUAUUUAUUAUUUUUUGCAGUGACAUAUAUGUAAUUAUGUAUAAUUAAUGGAAACUGCUGAAUCCUUCAGCAUUUGUAUAUUCCUCAGCUAGAGCAUACAUGCAUGUGUUUAGGGCGGUAUUCUUUGUCUCAUCUGUCCCAUUAAAGGGUUCACCCUUGAGAAGUCUGCUUCAUUGAAAUUGUAGCCUCUAUCAUUACAGGUAGCUCUUCAGCUAGCAGUUAGAUCCUUGAGUUUCUCCUAUCUACUUUUGCAUUUCAAGUUGAAGUGUCCUUUUACUUUUUAUUAAUCUCUAUGUGUUCUCAUCUUGAGAUAGAAAUGGUGUGCCUUUACAGGCACAGAUAGAGGACCCUUUCUCACAGUAGACAUACUAUUCCUCUGUAUCUUAUGGUAGUUCUGCUACCUAUUCCACAAUAUUAUGUGGAUUUUGGUUCUUUUUUAUUCAUCAGGUUUAUGUGGCAUGGCAGAGUCAGUUGCACUUUGACCAGUGGAUUAUUUUUAUUGUAUCUUUCUAUUAGAAAAUGAAACUCUUUGGCUGAGGGUGAAUGUUACACUAUCUGUGUGUAAAAGGAUAGGUAUUUUAAAAGUAUAUAGAAAUUUUACUACCUUAAAUACUUAAGUAUGUAGGUUCUUUUCGAAUAUCCAUUAUUUCAGUGUUUAUGGAUAUUUGGCCAGGUUUACACUGUUUGGCAUAAUUUGUCCCUUGGUGAUGAUAUAAGUCUUCUCCAUUGACCAGAAAUAUCACAAGCAAUUCACUUGUGUAUUUGUAGUGCCAGGCCUCUGAUAAUCCAGUAAAAGCUAUGAUUUAGGAAAUGAUGAUGCUUUAGGAAGUUUAGGAAAAUCAUGAAUUUCACAUAACUUCUGCAGUAAUGUUAUGCCAGUGGUCACAUUAGGAUUCCAUGGUGGUAAGGAGUAGCCCAAAUAUAACAUGAAUAACAUUCUAGAUUCUCUCUACCAUGUAAAUAGUGUAAGAAAUUCCAAAAUCAAAAUUAUGUGAAAGUAUAGUACAUGUGAGUAUUUAGAGAGAAGCUUGGCUCACAUGUGGUGUGGAAUGUAGUAGAGACUGUUAUGUGCUACUCAUGUUCCUUAUGUCUUAGUGGCUCACUCUAAGCAACAUAGACACUUUCCUACAUUUUAAUGUUUCAGAAAAACAAAUUGAAACUUCAGACAUCACUCAGAGAUAUGGUAAAACAAUUCUGGAGAUUAACACAAAAUGGCCACCCCUAUGGUCUUUUAAUUAAAUACAAUUGUCUGCAUUAUGGCCCUGUAAUUAUCCUCAAUGAUAAAUCUUAUUGACGUUGAAAUAUAUUCAACGGGUUACUUUUUCUUUUAAGAUCAAUUAUGUCUGUGUGGGAAUUUGCUUCAGGCAGAAACACUCUUUUAAUUAUGUCUACCAGAUUUUUUCCAGAAUGUAGAAGUAAACAUCCAGGGAUAGUGGUGAAUUUGCAAUUCAUUACAUGAUGGUCUUUGCCAGAUGUAUGAAUAUAGUUUGCCAUCAAAGAAAUAUUAUUUGGUGAAUGUUAGUGAGAAUUAUUCUCACAUUGGCCACUGGUAGUAGGUAUUUGCUGAACAUGACAGUAGAAUUGCACAUAUGAAUUCCUAGUACUCAUAACUGAAUGCACAAGACUUGCUUGUCCCAGGUCAAGGUAGCAAAAUCUCAGCAAAAGUAGUGGAGGACCUCAUGAUAUCUCACUCAUAUUUUAGUAGCUACUGGUAUUUAUUUGUUUAUGGAGACAGGACAGUUAGUUUUCCGCAGGGGCUUUUGCUCUCAGAAGUUAUUCAUGAUCCCCUGGUUUUCUGCACAUCUGUGUAUAAACAGGCAACCCUAAAUGGGUAUUUAAAGCUUUUCAAUACGGAGCUCCACAGCUCCUGUUUUAGUUCACCCUAACCCUAAUCUUCCAAUAAUCAUGAUCUCCCUACCACUAAGUAGUUAACUAGGUUUCCAAUACUAAGCAUUAUAUUCCUCAUGUUGUGCAUGUGAUGGGUAUAUUUGAGAGCUGUUGGCUAUAUCCAGGUAUGUGUGUCAAUAUUGCACCCUUAGGGCUAAUUUGCUCUGCUGCUCAUUAAUGUUGUUUAUAAAUAUCACAUCUGCUUAAGAGUGCUGAUUGCAUUCCUCUGUUGGAUGCAUGCACAGUCCUGAUACAAAUAUACAAAACACCCAUACCAAAAUUCUUAGUCAAUGUUGAGUCAAAUGUGGGAGAAAAUGUAUAAGAGCUAGAUUUGUCAAGGAUUUUGGAAUGGUAUUGUGUCUUUUAGUAACAUAAGAUGUCCUGCCAAUAGAGUCUCAGCAACAUGACUGGCCAAAAAUAAUCUGAAUAAAUGUGACACAAAUUAACUUACCAAAAUGGACAAAUAGUAGUCCAGAAGUACUCAACAUGACACUAAGUUCUAUAUGUAACUGAGGAAAUCUAGAAAAGGCAGAUGUCACCCAACUCCCACCUGCCCACUCUGGGAAAUCCCACCUCGGGGUCUACAGGCAGACUGAAUUGGUCCCUGAAGACCCAGGGACCUGACUCUGCUGAGAUCGAUGGACUAUUCUGUCCCCAGGCAGUGGAGAGUGCAGAGAAUGCUGAGGUGAGCUGCUUUGGCCCCUGACUUGGGCCCAACUUCUGCCUGCCCACUCUGGAACUCCUGCUCAAGGGUCUUCAGAUGGGACAAUUCGACCCCUGAGGACCAAGCAACCCAGAAUCUGCUGACAUCUCUGCCCCCGGUGUGCUCUGGCCCACCUGGAGAGCAAGUGCUUCCAACCACCUGCACUCACCUUGAGACCAUCAGAGUAUUGGAGCUAAUUGCACCCACCUGAAGAGAACACCAUACCCAUACACACUAGGAAAGGAAUUGACACAACCUGUACCCACUGGAAGAAGAGAUGGGAAGGUGAAAAUAUAAGAACACAUCCAACAACAGGAAAACCAAUAUGACACCACAAGCAUCUAGGGACUCUACAC
Molecule: non-coding RNA, 4562 nt
Organism: Cricetulus griseus (Chinese hamster)
Lineage: Eukaryota; Metazoa; Chordata; Mammalia; Rodentia; Cricetidae
Source: RefSeq, a predicted model, not a curated record